UGGGGAAUUUUGGACAAUGGGCGAAAGCCUGAUCCAGCAAUGCCGCGUGUGUGAAGAAGGCCUUCGGGUUGUAAAGCACUUUUGUCCGGAAAGAAAUCCUUGGCUCUAAUACAGUCGGGGGAUGACGGUACCGGAAGAAUAAGCACCGGCUAACUACGUGCCAGCAGCCGCGGUAAUACGUAGGGUGCAAGCGUUAAUCGGAAUUACUGGGCGUAAAGCGUGCGCAGGCGGUUUGCUAAGACCGAUGUGAAAUCCCCGGGCUCAACCUGGGAACUGCAUUGGUGACUGGCAGGCUAGAGUAUGGCAGAGGGGGGUAGAAUUCCACGUGUAGCAGUGAAAUGCGUAGAGAUGUGGAGGAAUACCGAUGGCGAAGGCAGCCCCCUGGGCCAAUACUGACGCUCAUGCACGAAAGCAUGGGGAGCAAACAGGAUUAGAUACCCUGGUAGUCCACGCCCUAAACGAUGUCAACUAGUUGUUGGGGAUUCAUUUCCUUAGUAACGUAGCUAACGCGUGAAGUUGACCGCCUGGGGAGUACGGUCGCAAGAUUAAAACUCAAAGGAAUUGACGGGGUCAUAGCUGUUUCCU
RNAcentral lists this ribosomal RNA (585 nucleotides) under uncultured bacterium. RNAcentral describes it as "partial 16S ribosomal RNA". It matches the Rfam family "Bacterial small subunit ribosomal RNA", at positions 355 to 1375 of the family's 1533-position model. The record is from RNAcentral.